This is a non-coding RNA of Lactobacillus kefiranofaciens subsp. kefirgranum, 368 nucleotides long. The record is from Rfam. Lineage: Bacteria; Bacillati; Bacillota; Bacilli; Lactobacillales; Lactobacillaceae.
AAUUUUGAGUAGGCGCGGUUGAUUUUAGAUCAACUGAGGAAAGUCCACGCACGCACAGACUGCGAUGUCUGUAGUGAUCGUAUUCAGCCCAAUAAGCUGGAGGAGAAUCUUUGAUUUUCACGGCGGAAAAAGUGCUAAAUCUGCGGACAUGCAUUACUAUCCUGAAAAGUGCCACAGUGACGAAGCAAGAUCAGAAAUGAUCUUGGUGGAACGAGGUAAACCCUGCGAGUGUGAAACCCAAAUUUGGUGGGGGAGUUUCGGUCAAAGGAAAUGAACUAAAGACCGGAUUAUUGUGACUAGCAAUAAAGAUAGAUGACUACUGAAGGUGAUUCUGCCAAAAUCACUGGAACAAAACGUGGCUUAUAGAA